UGUUCUUGAAAUUUAAAAGAUUUGGCGGUAUUUUAGUCUUUUCAGAGGAACCUGUUCUAUAAUUGAUGAUCCACGAUUAAUUGUACUUGAUUUAAUAGUUUAUAUAUCGUCGUAGUUGAGUAUCUUUAAAGAGUAAAAAUAUUCAAGAAUUUUAAUUUUAAAAUAAAUCAGAUCAAGAUAUAGUUUAUAAUUAAGAAGAAAUGGGUUACAAUAAAUUUAUUUAUAUAGUUAUAUAAUUUAACAUUUAUAUAUAAAUUGGAUUUGAAAGUAAUUUAUUUUAGUUAAAAUAGAUGAUUUAAGCUCUAAAAUAUGCACAUAUCGCCCGUCGCUUCUAUUGAAAUUUAAAAUAGAAUAAGUCGUAACAUAGUAGGCGUACCGGAAGGUGUGCCUAGAUUGCAGAUUAAAGCUUGUUAGUAUCUUAUUUACAUUAAGAAGAAAGAUUGUUUAAUCAAUUUAAUUUGAAUUGAAAAUUUUAUUAAAAUUUUAUUUUAAUAAGUUUUUAAAAAAAAUAUUUUAAUAUUUAUUUAUAAUUAAAGAUAAAAUUUUUAUAGUUAUAGUUUAUAGUAUAGUGUUAGAAAGUUGAAAUAAUAUGAAAAUUUAAGUAUUUUAAAGAAAAAUUAAUUUUUUGUACCUUGUGUAUCAGGGUUUAUUAAAUUAUAAUUAUUUAGAUUAAUUUUCUCGAAUUUAGAAGAGUUAAGAAAUUAUAAAUUUUAUUGUAAAAUAAAUAUUUAAAAUAAUUUUUUAGUAAUGAAAUGUUAUUCGUUUUUAAAUUUAUCUAGUUUUUUAAGAAAUAAAUUUAAUUUAGUAAGUUAUUAUAAAUAAAAUAAUUUAAUAUUUUAUUUAAUAUAAGUUAUAAAUAUUUUUAGGGAUAAGCUUAAAAAUAAAAAUUUAAAAAUUAAUAAUUAUUUAUAUAAAUAGUUAGGAUUAGAAAUUUCUUUAAUUUAUUAGUAUGUUAUAAUAAAUUUUUAUAUAAAUUAUAUUUUUAUAUAAUUUUAAAUUUUUUAUUAAAAUUAUUUAUUUAAUAUUAAAAUUUAUGUAAUAAUGAUAAAAUUAGUAUAUAAAAAAUUAUGUGAUAAUAAUUUAGUUAAUUUAGGUUGAAUUAAGGAAUUCGGCAAAAUAUUUUUCCGCCUGUUUAUUAAAAACAUGUCUUUUUGAUAAUAAUUUAAAGUCUAGCCUGCCCUAUGAAUAAUUAAAUGGCCGCGGUAUUUUGACUGUGCAAAGGUAGCAUAAUAAUUAGUUUUUUGAUUGAGAACUGGUAUGAAUGGUUGGACGAGAAAAGUUCUGUCUCGGUUUAAUUUUAGUUAGAAUUUUAUUUUUAAGUUAAAAAUCUUAAAUAUUUUAAAAAGACGAGAAGACCCUAUAGAGUUUUAUAUUAAUAAAUAUUUUAUUAUUAAAGGUAAAUAAGGAUUAUUGUAUAUUGGUUAAUAUUUGAUUGGGGUGAUUUAAAAAUUUAAUAAACUUUUUAUAUAUUUAUACAUA
Molecule: ribosomal RNA, 1479 nt
Filed under: Aptenocanthon winyar
Lineage: Eukaryota; Metazoa; Arthropoda; Insecta; Coleoptera; Scarabaeidae
Description: partial 16S ribosomal RNA
Source: RNAcentral